AGUGAACGCUGGCGGUAGGCCUAACACAUGCAAGUCGAACGGCAGCACAGUAAGAGCUUGCUCUUACGGGUGGCGAGUGGCGGACGGGUGAGGAAUACAUCGGAAUCUACUUUUUCGUGGGGGGUAACGUAGGGAAACUUACGCUAAUACCGCAUACGACCUACGGGUGAAAGCAGGGGAUCUUCGGACCUUGCGCGAUUGAAUGAGCCGAUGUCGGAUUAGCUAGUUGGCGGGGUAAAGGCCCACCAAGGCGACGAUCCGUAGCUGGUCUGAGAGGAUGAUCAGCCACACUGGAACUGAGACACGGUCCAGACUCCUACGGGAGGCAGCAGUGGGGAAUAUUGGACAAUGGGCGCAAGCCUGAUCCAGUCAUACCGCGUGGGUGAAGAAGGCCUUCGGGUUGUAAAGCCCUUUUGUUGGGAAAGAAAAGCAGCAGGUUAAUACCCCGCUGUCCUGACGGUACCCAAAGAAUAAGCACCGGCUAACUUCGUG
RNAcentral lists this ribosomal RNA (492 nucleotides) under uncultured bacterium. RNAcentral describes it as "partial 16S ribosomal RNA". It matches the Rfam family "Bacterial small subunit ribosomal RNA", at positions 29 to 507 of the family's 1533-position model. The record is from RNAcentral.